This is a long non-coding RNA of Salmo salar (Atlantic salmon), 1554 nucleotides long. RefSeq lists it as uncharacterized. The record is from RefSeq and is a predicted model, not a curated record. Lineage: Eukaryota; Metazoa; Chordata; Actinopteri; Salmoniformes; Salmonidae.
CCAAUACAAAUUUAAAGAAGAAGAACAUUACGUGAUAUAGCUACUACCUGAAGAAGAAAUUAUACAUUUGGACAGUGACAGUCUUUGCUGAAGGCUGUUGGGGAGGAAGUGGUUGGGUGGUGGUUGGAAGAGUGCGCGUGUUUGAAAUGGUAAAGCUUCUUGGUAGCUACUGACAAAGAAGAACAUGAAGACAAAGCAGCUGCUUUACAGCGUGGGAUGCUCUACAUUCUGAGGGAGACAUGAGGUGACUCUAUAGCUGACUGAACUGAAGACAGAAUCUCAACCAUGGUGAAGCGGUAUUACUGUGACUACUGUGACCGGCCCUUUCAGAACAACAUGCACAACAGGAGAAAACACAUGUACGGUGUUCAACAACACAGAUCUAAAAAAGCCUGGUUUGACCAUUUCAGAGAUACAGCAGCUAUCCUGUAUGAUGAACGGACUAAGAAACCAUGCAGGAGGUUUCUAAAUACUGGUAAAGACUACAAUUAAAGAUACAAGGAACAUGUCGUGUGAAUUAAAGACCCUUACGAUUUAUCUGUGUAAUGCUUAUAUUUUUGUCCUUUGCAUCAGGCCAGUGUGUGUUCGGCAACAACUGCAGAUUCUCUCACAUGUCAGAGGGACAUGGAGAUCAAGCUGAUCCUAACUGUUAUAGGCCUAUUUCUAUUUUGACCUGUUUAUCAAAAGUGUUGGAAAAACUUGUCAAUAAUCAACUGACUGGCUUUCUUGACGUCUAUAGUAUUCUCUUGGGUAUGCAAUCUGGUUUCUGGAUGUGUCACUGCAACCUUAAAGGUCCUCAACGAUGUCACCAUUGCCCUUGAUUCUUAGCAAUAUUGUGCUGAUAUUUUUAUUGACUUGGCCCAAGCUUUUGAUACGGUAGACCAUUCCAUUCUUGUGGGCCGGCUAAGGAGUAUUGGUGUCUCUGAGGGGUCUUUGGCCUGGUUUGCUAACUACCUCUCUCAAAGAGUGCAGUGUAUAAAGUCAGAACAUCUGCUGUCUCAGCCACUGCCUGUCACCAAGGGAGUACCCCAAGGCUCAAUCCUAGGCCUCACGCUCUUCUCAAGUUACAUUAACAACAUUGCUAAGGCAGUAGGAAGCUCUCUCAUCCAUUUAUAUGCAGAUGAUAGUCUUGUACUCAGCUGGCCCCUCGCCGGAUUUUGUGUUAAAUGCUCUACAACAAAGCUUUCUUAGUGUCCAACAAGCUUUCUCUACCCUUGACCUUUGUUUUGGAGGUGUUCAGAACAAGGUUUGGUAAGAAGAAUGACCCUUUUCCCACAGGUGUUAUUACUACAUCUGAGGGUUUAGAGCUUGAGGUAGUCACCUCAUACAAGUACUUGGGAGUAUGGCUAGACGGUGCACUGUCCUUUUCUCAGCACAUAACAAAGCUGCAGGCUACAGUUAAAUCUAGACUGGAUUUCCUCUAUCAUAAUCACUCCUCUUUUACCCCAGCUGCCAAACUAACCCUGAUUCAGAUGACCAUCCUACCCAUGCUAGAUUAAGGAGACAUCAUUUAUAGAUCGACAGGUAAGGGUGCUCUCGAGCGGCUAAAUGUUC